RNAcentral lists this ribosomal RNA (427 nucleotides) under uncultured bacterium. Its description in RNAcentral is "bacterial SSU rRNA". It matches the Rfam family "Bacterial small subunit ribosomal RNA", at positions 355 to 774 of the family's 1533-position model. The record is from RNAcentral.
UGGGGAAUUUUGGACAAUGGGCGCAAGCCUGAUCCAGCCAUUCCGCGUGCAGGACGAAGGCCUUCGGGUUGUAAACUGCUUUUGUACGGAACGAAAAGCCCUUCUCCAAUACAGAGGGGUCAUGACGGUACCGUAAGAAUAAGCACCGGCUAACUACGUGCCAGCAGCCGCGGUAAUACGUAGGGUGCGAGCGUUAAUCGGAAUUACUGGGCGUAAAGCGUGCGUAGGCGGUUAUGUAAGACAGAUGUGAAAUCCCCGGGCUCAACCUGGGAACUGCGUUUGUGACUGCAUAACUAGAGUACGGCAGAGGGAGGUGGAAUUCCGCGUGUAGCAGUGAAAUGCGUAGAGAUGCGGAGGAACACCGAUGGCGAAGGCAAUCCCCUGGACCUGUACUGACGCUCAUGCACGAAAGCGUGGGGAGCAAACA